RNAcentral lists this long non-coding RNA (1020 nucleotides) under Mytilus galloprovincialis (Mediterranean mussel). Lineage: Eukaryota; Metazoa; Mollusca; Bivalvia; Mytilida; Mytilidae. The record is from RNAcentral.
UCUCAUGUUUACAAGUAGUGGGGGAAGUGGGGGUUCUGGGCCACUUUUGCUAAUGCAAACCCUAUGGGAGUGAGGUUAACCUCCCAGAGUUAACCUCCCUAAUAAAUGACGUCAAUUUAAGUAUUAUGACAUUAAUUAAUUAAAUUAAUUACUUUAGAUAAGGUCAUUAUUAAGUGUUACUAAUUAAUUGGCGUUAUUGAAUAAGUAUAUAUAUAUAUUUUCUUUAUAUUUGAUGACAAUUCCCAGUCGUCUAUAAAUAGAUACACAGGAAACCCCCAUCUAAGUGUGUAUUUACAUAUCAUUAUUGUAUAAGAUGUCUCUGGUAUUAUUUAUUCACCUACGGUUAUUUAUCUCUGAUUAUUAAAUCAAUAUUGAAUGCGUGUUUAAACUUGUCCAGUAUUGUACGUAGUGACCUUUAACAUGUUGAUACGUGUCAAUAAAUCCGCCAUAUUGAAAAAUCGCGUCGGUCUUUUGAAAUCAUUAAAUCGUUAUAUUAUUGGCACUAUUAUUAAUAAUAUAUCUUCAUAUUUAUGGGGUGAUAUUUUUUUGUUUUUAAAGUAUUUAAUCUUGAAUUUAUAAUAUAAUUGCUAAAUCACUGAAAGCGUUCGUUAACUUGUCUGUGUCAUAAUCAAGUUUAGACUUGUCAAUAAUCCGAUUUAAAUGUAAUCGCCAUGUUGAAAAUAUUAUAAACAUUGUCGCGUUAUGCAGUCUUUUGAAAUAAGUAAAUCAUAAUAUUAAUUUAAUUAAAUAGUAUUAUUCUUACAAAGAUGAGAUUUAUCCAGUAGUUAAUUUUAAUGUGUUCGAUGAUACAUACUGUUAUAUAAUACGUCUUUGUUUUAAUAUCCAACUAUCAUCCCUCCGUUAAUCAUAUAAUAUAUAUGUAUGAAUUGAAAACUAUAUUUUAUUAUUUCCUCGAUCAUAUUCACUUUAAAACUGAAAUCCUUUACUAUAAAAUGCCAAACUGAUAAACCAAGACAUUUCAACAGUUUCUGUUGAUCUCAAUAACCUGGUGUGAUUAAG